CGAGGACUCUAACGAGACUGCCGGUGUCAAACCGGAGGAAGGUGGGGAUGACGUCAAGUCCUCAUGGCCCUUACGGGUUGGGCUACACACGUGCUACAAUGGCGGUGACAGUGGGACAAUCCCCAAAAACCGUCUCAGUUCGGAUUGUUCUCUGCAACUCGAGAGCAUGAAGGUGGAAUCGCUAGUAAUCGCAGAACAGCAUGCUGCGGUGAAUACGUUCCCGGGCCUUGUACACACCGCCCGUCACACCAUGGGAGUUGGUUUUACCCGAAGCCGGUGCGCUAACCUUUUAGGAGGCAGCC
Molecule: ribosomal RNA, 302 nt
Filed under: Isochrysis galbana
Lineage: Eukaryota; Haptophyta; Isochrysidales; Isochrysidaceae
Description: partial Bacterial small subunit ribosomal RNA
Rfam family: Bacterial small subunit ribosomal RNA
Source: RNAcentral